GAUGAAGAACGUAGCGAAAUGCGAUACGUAAUGUGAAUUGCAGAAUUCAGUGAAUCAUCGAGUCUUUGAACGCACAUUGCGCCCCCUGGUAUUCCGGGGGGCAUGCCUGUCCGAGCGUCAUUGCUGCCCUCAAGCACGGCUUGUGUGUUGGGCCUCCGUCCUCCUCCCGGGGGACGGGCCCGAAAGGCAGCGGCGGCACCGCGUCCGGUCCUCGAGCGUAUGGGGCUUCGUCACCCGCUCUUGUAGGCCCGGCCGGCGCUUGCCGACACAUCAAUCUUUCUUCCAGGUUGACCUCGGAUCAGGUAGGGAUACCCGCUGAACUUAAGCAUAUCAAUAAGCGGAGGA
This 345-nucleotide unclassified non-coding RNA is filed under the name soil metagenome. Its description in RNAcentral is "partial contains 5.8S ribosomal RNA, internal transcribed spacer 2, and large subunit ribosomal RNA". The stretch from base 1 to 120 matches the Rfam family "5.8S ribosomal RNA", at positions 35 to 154 of the family's 154-position model. The record is from RNAcentral.